Molecule: ribosomal RNA, 253 nt
Filed under: uncultured bacterium
Lineage: Bacteria
Description: partial 16S ribosomal RNA
Rfam family: Bacterial small subunit ribosomal RNA
Source: RNAcentral
UACAGAGGGGGCAAGCGUUGUUCGGAAUUACUGGGCGUAAAGGGCGCGUAGGCGGCCUUCUAAGUCGAACGUGAAAUCCCUGGGCUCAACCCAGGAACUGCGUCCGAUACUGGAAGGCUUGAAUCCGGGAGAGGGAUGCGGAACUCCAGGUGUAGCGGUGAAAUGCGUAGAUAUCUGGAGGAACACCGGUGGCGAAGGCGGCAUCCUGGACCGGUAUUGACGCCGAGGCGCGAAAGCCAGGGGAGCAAACGGG